Molecule: ribosomal RNA, 253 nt
Filed under: uncultured bacterium
Lineage: Bacteria
Description: partial 16S ribosomal RNA
Rfam family: Bacterial small subunit ribosomal RNA
Source: RNAcentral
UACGUAGGGUGCAAGCGUUGUCCGGAAUUAUUGGGCGUAAAGAGCUCGUAGGCGGUUUGUUGCGUCGGCUGUGAAAUCCCGAGGCUCAACCUCGGGUCUGCAGUCGAUACGAGCAAACUAGAGUGUUGCAGGGGAGACUGGAAUUCCUGGUGUAGCGGUGAAAUGCGCAGAUAUCAGGAGGAACACCGGUGGCGAAGGCGGGUCUCUGGGCCGUAACUGACGCUGAGGCGCGAAAGCCAGGGGAGCGAACGGG